RNAcentral lists this non-coding RNA (24 nucleotides) under Arabidopsis thaliana (thale cress). Lineage: Eukaryota; Viridiplantae; Streptophyta; Magnoliopsida; Brassicales; Brassicaceae. The record is from RNAcentral.
AUAUAAUAGCUUGAUGGCUGGUAC